UACAGAGGUCUCAAGCGUUGUUCGGAUUCAUUGGGCGUAAAGGGUGCGUAGGCGGCGCGGUAAGUCGGGUGUGAAAUCUCGGAGCUUAACUCCGAAACUGCAUUCGAUACUGCCGUGCUUGAGGACUGGAGAGGAGACUGGAAUUUACGGUGUAGCGGUGAAAUGCGUAGAUAUCAGUCGGAACACCGGUGGCGAAGGCGGCUUCUUGGGCCUUUACUGACGCUGAGGCGCGAAAGCCAGGGGAGCGAACGGG
This 253-nucleotide ribosomal RNA is filed under the name uncultured bacterium. RNAcentral's name for it is "partial 16S ribosomal RNA". It matches the Rfam family "Bacterial small subunit ribosomal RNA", at positions 524 to 776 of the family's 1533-position model. The record is from RNAcentral.